RNAcentral lists this ribosomal RNA (270 nucleotides) under uncultured archaeon. Its description in RNAcentral is "partial 16S ribosomal RNA". It matches the Rfam family "Archaeal small subunit ribosomal RNA", at positions 477 to 747 of the family's 1478-position model. The record is from RNAcentral.
CAGCACCUCAAGUGGUCAGGAUGAUUAUUGGGCCUAAAGCAUCCGUAGCCGGCGCUGUAAGUUUUCGGUUAAAUCUGUACGCUCAACGUACAGGCUGCCGGGAAUACUGCAGCGCUAGGGAGUGGGAGAGGUAGACGGUACUCGGUAGGAAGGGGUAAAAUCCUUUGAUCUAUUGAUGACCACCUGUGGCGAAGGCGGUCUACCAGGACACGUCCGACGGUGAGGGAUGAAAGCUGGGGGAGCAAACCGGAUUAGAUACCCGUGUAGUCC